RNAcentral lists this long non-coding RNA (2204 nucleotides) under Lathyrus oleraceus (garden pea). Its description in RNAcentral is "Pisum sativum (pea) long non-coding RNA (PSAT_LNC019646)". The record is from RNAcentral. Lineage: Eukaryota; Viridiplantae; Streptophyta; Magnoliopsida; Fabales; Fabaceae.
GAAAUCUUUCACUAAAAGGUAUUACACAUAUUGAACUAAUAUGUUUUAAUCAUAGAAGCUAAAAGGUAUUAAGAACCUGAACAAGAAGUGGUCUCAGUGAUACUGGAUUGGAAUGAUGCAAUAAAAUGCUUGUCGGGAUUGUUGAUAUUUGACCAAGUAGCUUUUGUUACAGCCAUGUACUUGCUAUCUAAGAUUUUUGGCACAUGCAUUAAUUAGAAAACGUGAUAAGUUUUAUGUGUAAAUGGGUUUAUGGCUAAAAGUAGAAGUGGUCAGUUACAAGUGUCGACGAAUUUGGUUUGUCGAAAAAGUGAUAUCAUCUUUGAUCGAAUAGUAAUCAGUAUAUUUGUUUUGAGACUUUGUGAAAUUUAGAGUUUCCAUAAUAUUUUUCCAAUUAGAUGAAUGAGAUGUAAGUGGAUAACAUCAGACAGUUAUUUGAGGACACAUGAGAGUUUGUCAAAUACAAAGGCUGCAUGGAGACGAAGACGUUACAUGUUUUGCUUAGUCGAUCGUUAUAGACGGUUAACUUAAGACUAGUAUAUAAGUAAGCAUACACUUAUCUUUUUAGAGGUCCACAAUUGUACAAAAAUUCUGUAAAACUUAAACUAUUCGUGUGUUUGUGAGAAUAGAGUCAAGAAUGUAUGUAUAUGCGUUCCAUUUUUUACAAAUCAAAGUUUUUAUCUUCAGUUAUUUACUGAAUUGAAAUUUAUUCCAAUUAAUUUUUGUUUCCUANUCAGUGAUACUGGAUUGAAUGAUGCCAAUAAAAUGCUUGUCGGUAUGUUGCAUAAUUUGACCAAGUAGCUUUUGUUACAGCCAUGCUAACUGUGCUAUUCUAAGAUUUUUGGCACAUGGCAUUUAAUUAGAAAACGUGAUAAGUUUUAUGUGUAAAUGGUUUAUGGCAAAAGUAGAAUGUGCUGUCAGUUACAAGUGUCGACGAAUUGGUUUUGUCGAAAAAGUGAUAUCAUCUUUGAUCGAAUAGUAAUCAGUAUAUUUGUUUUGAGACUUUGUGAAAUUUAGAGUUUCCAUAAUAUUUUUCCAAUUAGAUGAAUGAGAUGUAAGUGGAUAACAUCAGACAGUUAUUUGAGAACACAUGAGAGUUUGUCAAAUACAAAGGCUGCAUGGAGACGAAGACGUUACAUGUUUUGCUUAGUCGAUCGUUAUAGACGGUUAACUUAAGACUAGUAUAUAAGUAAGCAUACACUUAUCUUUUUAGAGGUCCACAAUUGUACAAAAAUUCUGUAAAACUUAAACUAUUCGUGUGUUUGUGAGAAAAGAGUCAAGAAUGUAUGUAUAUGCGUUCCAUUUUUUACAAAUCAAAGUUUUUAUCUUCAGUUAUUUACUGAAUUGAAAUUUAUUCCAAUUAAUUUUUGUUUCCUAUUAUAUUUAUUUUCAAUCAUUGUAAUUAUUUUUGUUUCUUUUAUAUUUUGAUUUCAAUGUAAAACAUGCUUCAAACAUUAAUUUUCACGCAAUAUGUUUUGGGAUCUCUUCGAGUUUAAUCCCGUGAAUGAAAUCAAACUUGUUUUGUUUAUCAAAUUUCAAAGUGAACAAGUACUACCAUUAUUAAAUAACUUCAUCCACAUCCUUUCUUUUAUUUUUACCUCGAGAGUGCAUCAAUUUCUGAUUGAAUAUUGCACUUAAUUGCAAACGAUGUCAAGUCUUCCAAUGUCAAGUAGAUUUUUUUCAUCCUACAUGCUCAAUUGUUCUCAAACCUAAUAAUUUCAUUGUCUACUGAACUUUGGUUGGGGAUGCUUAGAUCUUCAUUUGAAUCAUUUCCUGGUGCUUUUAAGUCUUUUUUUGUCCAAGAGUGAACUAGUGACCCAAGAAUAAAGGAUUAAAAGCAACUUUAAUAUGUGGAAUGAUGCAUUAUUUACUAACGUUUUUCCUUUCAUUUUGUAUGACCUUGGCAGUGUGAAAAAGCUUGGUAAGUUUUUACAAAUAAGCAUUACUUCGAAAAUCAGCUAUCAUAACGGUUGGAAAAGGACACAACCACGUCUGAUCAACCAUUGUUAGGUAGGAUGUAUUGUAUGUAUGAUGCUUUCUAUCACGAGCAUAAAACCAUUGCGAUGAACUAGAUAGUGCACUGUAUAUCACAACGGUUAAAGUAUACAACUGUUGUGAUAUAAAAUUAAAUGUAAAGAAGGAAAAAACAUGCCUUUUUAUUUUGGGGUUCUUCUUUCUUAGCUUCACCAGCAUUUGAAGGGCCUUCG